CUACGGGCCGCUGCAGUGAGGAAUAUUGCACAAUGGGGGGAACCCUGAUGCAGCAACGCCGCGUGGAGGAUGACGCAUUUCGGUGUGUAAACUCCUUUUAUAUGUCAAGAAAAUGACGGUAGCAUAUGAAUAAGCACCGGCUAACUCCGUGCCAGCAGCCGCGGUAAUACGGAGGGUGCAAGCGUUACUCGGAAUCACUGGGCGUAAAGGACGCGUAGGCGGGUUGGAAAGUCAGGUGUGAAAUCCUACAGCUUAACUGUAGAACUGCACUUGAAACUUCUAAUAUAGAGUAUGGGAGGGAGAGAUGGAAUUAGUGGUGUAGGGGUAAAAUCCGUAGAUAUCACUAGGAAUACCUAAAGCGAAGGCGAUCUCCUGGAACAUUACUGACGCUAAGGCGUGAAAGCGUGGGGAGCAAACAGGAUUAGAUACCCCAGUAGUC
Molecule: ribosomal RNA, 439 nt
Filed under: uncultured bacterium
Lineage: Bacteria
Description: partial 16S ribosomal RNA
Rfam family: Bacterial small subunit ribosomal RNA
Source: RNAcentral